Molecule: long non-coding RNA, 1217 nt
Filed under: Mus musculus (house mouse)
Lineage: Eukaryota; Metazoa; Chordata; Mammalia; Rodentia; Muridae
Description: predicted gene, 52907, transcript variant 3 (Gm52907)
Source: RNAcentral
AGAUUGAUUGGAACCAAUCCUGGCUCAAGCCUGCUCCGCACAGCCUUGGAUCCUAAUUUUCUGGGAGAGGAAGAUUCCCUUCUCUCAGGUCACACACUAGGAAGCCGCAUAAUCUGGAAUCCCAGGUGCCUUUAAAUGGUCACCUUCAGCCUUAACUCUCCCUCUAGGCUGAGGUCUUUUGCAAUGCAGGUCUUCACUUUUGCGUGGGGACUAAAGCAACAGCUAAGCACUGACUGUACUUGCGACACCGCAGGUAAUCAUCUGAGAGAGCACCACCUAGUGGCUGACACAGGUCUGUGGUAACCAUCUUAUCAAUGUGGAGACUAUCUGUGCUGAGAAGACAUUAAUGAAAAGGCUGGUUAUGGGAAAGGUUGCUUGUGGCUGUGAUCUGGGCACUCAGAUUAUAGUUCUCAGGCCUUCCUGUUCCAGCAGGCUCCCACACUCAAAUUCUGCGGGAAGGAUGAAGUUUUUGUCUGUCCUACAACCACCUUAGGAUGAACUCCAGGGUUCGUCUCUGCUGGCAGGGAGGGGAGGGGAACGUGGGUCCACAUGAUCCAGAUUUGCUGACUCCUGGCCCUCCCAGAUGUGUCCACGAGUGGACGUUCAGGUCCUCAUUUCCACAGUUCCCACGAGGCACCUGGAAGGAGCUGUUGCCUUAGAAACAAGGGCACAGAGUGCUCGGGAGACUGGAGUCCCCAACCUUUCUGUGUCUGCUCCUCACUGCACCUUCGCUGAGCCUGUAUGUGGCCAUCCCACAUCACUGCAUCACUUCAUCACUCCAGCCUCUCUCCAGCAAAGAUAUCACCACCCUCGUCUGAGUGGAGUCCACGGAUCCUGGCCACACCUCCAGCCAAGCUGGCAACGCUUUUUCUCCUGGCUUCCGGUUUGCACCACAAUCCACCGUCCUCACUGCAUCCUCUUGGCCACUUGUUCUGAAGCAACUUUGCUUGGAGGCAACUUUCCAAGAGUUUCUAUGCGGGAAGCCCAUGUCUGCUCACCCAGACCCCACAUUAGGCUGGAGGGAGACACUCAGAAGUCUGUACUGUGGAUGCAAAAACACAGCUCUCACCUCAAAGGUGGGAAAAACAGAUUUUAUUCUGAGUCAAAUAUGAGUGACUACAGCUCAGGAGCACAGGUUCAGAAUCCCCUUAAACACCACAGUCGCAUGUGGAGACAGUUUUGUGAAGUUUUUAUGAUAAUAAAGAACUGAAAAACUA